UACGGAGGGGGACUAGCGUUGUUCGGAAUUACUGGGCGUAAAGCGCACGUAGGCGGAUUUGUAAGUCAGGGGUGAAAUCCCCGGGGCUCAACCUCGGAACUGCCUUUGAUACUGCAAAUCUCGAGUCCGGAAGAGGUGAGUGGAAUUCCUAGUGUAGAGGUGAAAUUCGUAGAUAUUAGGAAGAACACCAGUGGCGAAGGCGGCUCACUGGUCCGGUACUGACGCUGAGGUGCGAAAGCGUGGGGGAGCAAACAGG
This 256-nucleotide ribosomal RNA is filed under the name uncultured bacterium. RNAcentral's name for it is "partial 16S ribosomal RNA". It matches the Rfam family "Bacterial small subunit ribosomal RNA", at positions 524 to 776 of the family's 1533-position model. The record is from RNAcentral.